GUACUGCCGAAGAGUCCCGAACUAGGAUGAAACAGCUGUCCAGUAU
Non-coding RNA from Trichobilharzia regenti, 46 nucleotides. Lineage: Eukaryota; Metazoa; Platyhelminthes; Trematoda; Strigeidida; Schistosomatidae. The record is from Rfam.